CAACCCUCAGGCCCCCAGUGCCUGGCGUUGGGGAUCGGCGCGGCGGCCCUCUCGGGGGCUCGCUGCCGGCCCCGAAAUUCAGUGGCGGUCUCGCUGUAGCCCUCCUCCGCGUAGUAGCACAACCUCGCGGCCUGGAGCUCGGCGGUGGCCAUGCCGUAAAACACCCCACUUCUGAA
Molecule: unclassified non-coding RNA, 176 nt
Filed under: uncultured fungus
Lineage: Eukaryota; Fungi
Also listed under: 1 other name
Description: sequence contains ITS2
Source: RNAcentral